Long non-coding RNA from Herpailurus yagouaroundi (jaguarundi), 2965 nucleotides. RefSeq lists it as uncharacterized. The transcript has 2 exons. The record is from RefSeq and is a predicted model, not a curated record. NCBI's taxonomy places the organism in Eukaryota, Metazoa, Chordata, Mammalia, Carnivora, Felidae.
GCUUUGUUUAACUACCUAUGAGGGCAUCCUAUGAUGACCAUCUACCUCAGUAUAGUCGUAGAGUGAGCGUUAGUAGCAUGUUAGAAAUUUAAGCUUUUAAAAUUUUGAAACCCUUGUUAUACUGCAGUCUAUAUUUUUACUUGCAGAUUUUUUUAAUUCUAAAAAUUAGAAAUCAGGCCUGUUUUUAUAAGAUAUUUAACUUUUUGCAUUCUUUUAAAACAUUUUAAGUUCAUUAAAACCAUAUCCCUAUUGUAAUUCCUUAAGAUAUACCUACUUAGUUAAUGUUGAGUUUUAUGAAAAAGUCCUGAAGGUGAAUGGUUCACUCCAUGCACAUUUAUGUAGAAACCUUCAAAUAAAUGCAUGAUGUUAUUUCUGUUUUGAAUAUGACUAGGUUAGUAUUAUUUAUGUAGUACUUCUUCUCACAGAUAACUUAAAAAAAAAAAUCCCACAUUGAAUUCCAGUAUACCAAGGGUUGCAAUGAUUUUGGUUUUUAUGAAAGUUCAAGAUUUCCUAUAGCUUAGGUGCCAGCUGGGCACUGGGUGAAUUGUUUUUAUGCCAGAUUUUCUUGUUCAUUCUUGCUAUAUUUUCUAGAUAUCUCUAAAUAAUAAAUUCUUCUCUCUGUUAUUUGUGUGUGUGAUUUUUGUAGUGGAGAAGGCAAAUGCAAAACUCUUCCAGAUGACUGAAAAACAGUGGGUCCUCUGCAGCUACAGGGGAUUCUAGACAUUAACUAAAGGCCAGCAAGCACUCAAGUCCCCCAAGUGUUUUCCUGGUGUAACCAUUUGUUAACUACAUUUUCUCUCUUUUUACAUUUUAGGCUGUUAACGUAAUUUGACAGAAAAAUAAUGAGCAGGGUUUUUGGAUCUAAAAAAGCCACUGUGACAAGACAGCACUAUUUUAAUUCCAUUUUGUAAAAUUUUAUGAGACCUUUUAUAAUUAGUUUGUUCCCAAUGUACUGCUACUUUAUUUGCUUUUUGUUACUAUAAAUUUUGAUCAAAGAAAUCACUGAAAUAUGAUAAAAUUACUGGAUUUUAGGCUAAUAAUUUAACAUAUAUACUGACCAGAAUUUAAAUGCUUUCCCCUUAAUGAACUGGUCAGUGGAAGCAGAAUCUUGAUAUUGUUAACUUUAGAUGCUAUCUUAGAUCUUGAAUACCAGUGUGAACAUUUACACCAUACCUUGUAAAAGUUGUGAACUGUCUAGUCCUUAAAAUUUAGAAGAAUUGCCUUUGUGGUUUUCUGAAGAAAUUAAAUUGCAUUCUUAGAUGGAUUAAGGCAUGUUAUAUAAUAAUAGUACAUCUAUCUCCAUGAUAUUAAAGUGUGUGAACCCUAUUUUAAGGUUUUAAAUUAUAUAUGUGCUGAUAAACGUUUGAGUUUAGUGUGUUUUGAUUAAGCAAUUUCUCUUAUAUCAGUGUGCCUGUUGUAGGGUAAGACUUAACACCAAGAGAAAAUUUCCAGAAUUCAGAUUUAGGAUAAGUAAAAUGCAGUUUUUGAAACAAGGUUCAAAUCAUGUGAGUAAUGUGCAAAACUACAGUUAGGCUUUAAAUUUAAAGAAUUCUUAUUGUCUAAGUAUCAUAGUUCCCAAGUCCUGAACAUAAUACAGUAUAUCAUAUAACUGGCUUUCUUAAAUAUUGUUAGGCCAUAGUAAACUUUCUAGUAUCUGUUAUGAAAAUGAAAUGUUUAGGAGUGUAUAUAGAAUUACAGAAGUAUUUAGUUCCAGUAUCUGUUUUUGGUGUAUUUAAUUCUUGGUAUGAUAUGCUGUAUUAAUGUUGCCACCGUUAAAUAACUGAUGUACUCAAUCCCUUUGUCACCAUUCACCCUAGUUUUAGCUCUUACACUUUGGUGUUGGCUCUUGGUCAGUGUUUUAAAACAAUAGACACAAAGUCUACGGUAAGGAAUAGUCUUAAUUGGUAAAAACUGAGAUAGCUGGAUAUGGAAGGAACUCUUAAUAGUAAUGGAUUUGGGGGUUAUUUAGGUUCCUUGGUUAAUGUUUGUUUCUUUUGUCUGUUUCUUUUUCUUUCAUUUCUACACAUUCAUGCAGUAUUUCAUGGUUCUAUCAAAGCAGCAGUAAAAAAAAUACUCUUGACGCAUGAAAAUUAACUGUUCUUUUCCCUGGUUCAGCCUGAACUAUAUACCAGGCCCUGCUGAAAAUACCACCCAACAGUUUUCUUCUGCAGCUUAUCCAGUUUCUCUUAAGUGCCCUGUACAUAUUGUAUGUUUUAUGAUGAGAUGCAGUUUCUUAAUAUGUAUUACAGAAAUACUACUGGUAUUUGCAAAUAUGUAGUUUAAUUGUAUUAUUGAACUCUCAUUUUGGGGGCUUGGGCACAUUAACAGAUUAAUCCAUCUGUAUAGGGCUUUUGCUGUUGGAUAGAAUUUAAAUUGUCUACAUAAAUAUUUGUCUUAGGACCCUUAGAUUUUAUCUGAAUACACAGAUUAGGCUUUAAAAACAGACAUACAUGUUGUUUUUGGCUUUAGGAGUUUGGCUAAGUUAGCUUUUGAACUGACACUCAUGUAGCAGCAUUUUUGGUAUGGUUAGCAUGGCACAUGUUGGAACAUAAAGCAUUUUACUAUACAGGUAAGGAAUGUGCCAUGUUGUUUUACCUAUUCUCUCUCUUUCUUACUCACUUUCACACACAUCCUGUGUGUAUUCAGAGACCUUCAGAAACAUUCAUAUUCAUUUUCAUGAGUCAGCAAAAGCCCUACGCUUGAUUCCAACAGAAUAUUUCCUUUACAUACUUUUCUUCUCUUAAUUUUUACAAAAUUUGUAUGGUAGGUGUAAAAGAAAAUCAUAGUAACUGUACCAUAUUAUUAACCCCUAAAUCAAACUUUUUUUGUCUUGUGUAUCUUGAUUUUUCUGUGUGCUUUAUAGUGAAGCAGCCGACACGAGUCGUUGUUCAUAAAACAGCUUUUGAAAGUUGAGAGCACACCCCUGGAGAACCGACUGUGCUUGCUUACGUUUGGUUCAUGACUU